This 73-nucleotide transfer RNA is filed under the name Candidatus Nanohaloarchaea archaeon. RNAcentral's name for it is "tRNA-Ile". It matches the Rfam family "tRNA". From Rfam's summary of the family: Transfer RNA (tRNA) molecules are approximately 80 nucleotides in length. Their secondary structure includes four short double-helical elements and three loops (D, anti-codon, and T loops). The record is from RNAcentral. Lineage: Archaea; Methanobacteriati; Methanobacteriota; Candidatus Nanohaloarchaea. RNAcentral also lists the same sequence under 2 other names.
GCUCCACUAGCUCAGGGGUUAGAGCACCGUCCUUAUAAGGCGGCGGUCCCGGGUUCGAAUCCCGGGUGGAGCA